Long non-coding RNA from Oncorhynchus keta (chum salmon), 1430 nucleotides. RefSeq lists it as uncharacterized. The record is from RefSeq and is a predicted model, not a curated record. The transcript is spliced from 6 exons. Lineage: Eukaryota; Metazoa; Chordata; Actinopteri; Salmoniformes; Salmonidae.
CUAGUGGAUAGAGUGUAGAGGUGGUAGGGUAGCCUAGUGGUUAGAGUGUAGAGGCGGCAGGUAGCCUAGUGAUUAGAGUGUAGAGGCGGCAGGUAGCCUAGUGGUUAGAGUGUAGAGGAGGCAGGUAGCCUAGUGGUUAGAGUGUAGAGGCGGCAGGUAGCCUAGUGGUUAGAGUGUAGAGGCGGCAGGUAGCCUAGUGGUUAGAGUGUAGAGGCGGCAGGUAGCCUAGUGAUUAGAGUGUAGAGGCGGCAGGUAGCCUAGUGGUUAGAGUGUAGAGGAGGCAGGUAGCCUAGUGGUUAGAGUGUAGAGGCGGCAGGUAGCCUAGUGGUUAGAGUGUAGAGGAGGCAGGUAGCCUAGUGGUUAGAGUGUAGAGGAGGCAGGUAGCCUAGUGGUUAGAGUGUAGAGGAGGCAGGUAGCCUAGUGGUUAGAGUGUAGAGGAGGUAGGUAGCCUAGUGGUUAGAGUGUAGAGGAGGCAGGUAGCCUAGUGGUUAGAGUGUAGAGGAGGCAGGUAGCCUAGUGGUUAGAGUGUAGAGGUGGCAGGUAGCCUAGUGGUUAGAGUGUAGAGGCGGCAGGUAGCCUAGUGGUUAGAGUGUAGAGGCGGCAGGUAGCCUAGUGGUUAGAGUGUAGAGGCGGCAGGUAGCCUAGUGGUUAGAGUGUAGAGGUGGCAGGUAGCCUAGUGGUUAGAGUGUAGAGGAGGCAGGUAGCCUAGUGGUUAGAGUGUAGAGGUGGCAGGUAGCCUAGUGGUUAGAGUGUAGAGGCGGCAGGUAGCCUAGUGGUUAGAGUGUAGAGGCGGCAGGUAGCCUAGUGGUUAGAGUGUAGAGGCGGCAGGUAGCCUAGUGGUUAGAGUGUAGAGGAGGCAGGUAGCCUAGUGGUUAGAGCGUAGAGGUGGCAGGUAGCCUAGUGGUUAGAGCGUAGAGGUGGCAGGUAGCCUAGUGGUUAGAGCGUAGAGGUGGCAGGUAGCCUAGUGGUUAGAGCGUAGAGGUGGCAGGUAGCCUAGUGGUUAGAGUGUAGAGGCGGCAGGUAGCCUAGUGGUUAGAGUGUAGAGGUGGCAGGUAGCCUAGUGGUUAGAGUGUAGAGGAGGCAGGUAGCCUAGUGGUUAGAGUGUAGAGGCGGCAGGUAGCCUAGUGGUUAGAGUGUAGAGGUGGCAGGUAGCCUAGUGGUUAGAGUGUAGAGGUGGCAGGUAGCCUAGUGGUUAGAGCGUAGAGGUGGCAGGUAGCCUAGUGGUUAGAGCGUAGAGGUGGCAGGUAGCCUAGUGGUUAGAGUGUAGAGGCGGCAGGUAGCCUAGUGGUUAGAGUGUAGAGGUGGCAGGUAGCCUAGUGGUUAGAGUGUAGAGGAGGCAGGUAGCCUAGUGGUUAGAGUGUAGAGGCGGCAGGUAGCCUAGUGGUUAGAGUGUAGAGGCGGCAGGUAGCCUAGUGGUUAGAGUGUAGAGG